CCCGGCCCUGCCCAGUGCCCUGAGUGAGUGCCGCUCUUUACACUGCUUACUUAGCAGCAUGGGUUCCUGCGGCUGGCCAGCAGCUGCGGGGUUCGCUUGGCUACUCCACCUGGGACACAGCAGGCGAUGCAUUCACACACCUGCUCAUCUCUACUCCUGGGAGAGCACACUCUGGUUUCUGAGCCUCACAGUAAGUGGGAAAAGGACCUGUGAGCGACCAACACAGCCUUCCACCCUCUGUAAAUGGACAAGCCUCCCAGGAUGUGAUGAGCAGGCGGGUGGAGACAACGUGCACGUGGCCUGAGAGGGAGCCACAGAGCUGCAGUGACUCGGCCUGGCAUGCAGGCACGCGCCCACGGACUGGGACUGGACACGUGAACUGCUGGGGGGAGGCAAGCGUGCCCAGGAGCCCACAGAGGAUGGGAGGGACCGGCUGCCAGGGCUAAGACCCCAUGUGUUUCAGGGCUGCUCCCUGGGACCCCAGUACUUUGCCGUCACCUUGCCCAGCCAGGGGGCCUGCGUGCUUUCCACCAGGCUCGGCCCCACCCUGGAGCGGAGAGAAACUGUCCCUAGGAGGACAGAACUUGGAAGGCUUCUUGCAGCUCCUUCCAGAACCUUCUUGGGUUCUGGCCCCUUGUCCUGGGCUCUAGGCUGCUCUCCACUCAGACCCUCCUGUUCUCCUCACCUUCUGGCCCACUUGUCUUCACAGGCUCUGUUGCCUGUGUCCACCCCUGCCGGGCCUCUGGCCUCCCAGCAUCCACACUUCCACCACGUUCUGUGCAAACCGGCCCAAGUGCCUCAGCCUGUCCGAGCAGACUCAGUGCUUCCAGCCACAGGACAACAACCAGGGCAGCUGGGUCAGCUGCAUGGGCGUUCUCAUGUGUGCUGGGACCACGGGAAAGACCACGAUCACCGAAGAGAUGUUUGUACAAAGUCUUGGCUGGACUGGAAAACAAAGCAGAUGAAAGGGAGUGUUGUGCUGUCUCCAGGCCGCUGUGGCUGGGAGCUCGGAAGGCAUGGUAACCGGCGGCAAGGCUGGACAUGCUGUCUUUUGUCCCUCUGGGAAGCUCCGAUGGCUGCGGCUUGAUGGUCCCUGUCAGGAACCCCAUCUCCCUCAAAAGCACCAGGUCACAUAAACUGUGUGGCUG
RNAcentral lists this long non-coding RNA (1148 nucleotides) under Vulpes vulpes (red fox). RNAcentral describes it as "lncRNA (ENSVVUG00000022336.1)". The record is from RNAcentral. Lineage: Eukaryota; Metazoa; Chordata; Mammalia; Carnivora; Canidae.